GACGAACGCUGGCGGCGUGCUUAACACAUGCAAGUCGAACGGAAAGGCCAUGCCUUUGUGGGGUGCUCGGGUGGCGAACGGGUGAGUAACACGUGAGUAACCUGCCCCUGACUCUGGGAUAACUUCAGGAAACUGGGGCUAAUACCGGAUAGGAGAUCCAGCUGCAUGGCGGCGGUCUGAAAGUUUCUGCGGUUGGGGAUGGACUCGCGGCUUAUCAGCUUGUUGGUGGGGUAGCGGCUCACCAAGGCUGUGACGGGUAGCCGGCCUGAGAGGGUGACCGGCCACACUGGGACUGAGAUACGGCCCAGACUCCUACGGGAGGCAGCAGUGGGGAAUAUUGCACAAUGGGCGGAAGCCUGAUGCAGCGACGCCGCGUGCGGGAUGACGGCCUUCGGGUUGUAAACCUCUUUCACCAGGGACGAAGCGAAAGUGACGAUAAUUGGAGAAGAAGCACCGGCUAACUACGUG
Molecule: ribosomal RNA, 468 nt
Filed under: uncultured bacterium
Lineage: Bacteria
Description: partial 16S ribosomal RNA
Rfam family: Bacterial small subunit ribosomal RNA
Source: RNAcentral